UCACCUCAAACUUGUCACUCUCUAUAGCUUUAAAUUAAUCAUAAAAUGUGCCCAGGCACAGCUCCAUAACUGACAGGGCCCAGGGCAAAGUGAGAAUGUGAGGUCCUUUGUUUGAAAAGCAGGAAAAAAGUAGUGUUAGCAGUACUGAAAUAUAAAAGCUUUUCCUUUUUCCCAAAGUCUCAACUUGUCAGGGUAUUUUUUAUUUGCUAUUGACUGUUGUUCUAAGUAAAGAAAAAUUAAAAUUUUUCAUGAUUAGCAUGAAUUUUUUUCAUUCACCUUUAUCUUGUGCAAUGUGAGUUUUAAGCUCAAAAUAAGAGCUUUUCACUUCAGUGCAGAAUAACCAAAUUACACAAUUUAUCCUUUAUAGAUUGUAUAUGCAUAUGUAUUUUUCUUACCUAUGCUAUGGAAACGCUGCACAAAGUGAACUCAACAGUUUUUUUUUUAAUUUUUAUUUAUUUAUGAUAGUCACACACAGAGAGAGAGAGAGCAGCAGAGAAACAGGCAGAGGGAGAAACAGGCUCCCCUCAGGGAGCCCCAUGUGGGACUUGAUCCCUGAACUCUAGGAUCACGUCCUGAGCAGAAAGCAGAGCUUAACUGCUGAGCCAUCCAGGCAUCCUGCCCUGAUGGAUUUGAUGUAGGAUGUGAGGGAAGGGGAAUGGAUAAAGUUGAUUCCAAAUAUGACGCUGAGAAAUUAAGUAAAUGGAGGUGCCAUUUAUCAAGUAGGAGGAUAACUGGGGAGAGAAGAAUGUAUGGAUUCUACUUAAGAAUUAGAUAUUGCACAUUUCAGGGUGGCUCAGUUGAUUGAGCAUCUGACUCUUGGUUUUGGCUCAUGUCAUGACCUCAUGAGUCAUGAGAUAGAACUGAGUCAGGAUCUGCACUCAGUGGGGAGUCUGCUUGAAAGUUCUUCCCUCUGUCCCUACCCUCACUCUCAUGCUCUCUCUCUAAAAUCAAUCAAUCAAUCAUCAAUCAAUCAAUCUUAAAAAAAGAAUCAGGAUCAAGCAUUUUAGUACUGAGAUACCUAUUAAAUAUUCAAGAGGAAUCUCAAAGAUAUAGUUGGAUAAAUAAGUCUGGACAUCAGGGAAGAGGUUGGGACAGGCAUGACAGCAUUUAGCAGUUGCAGAAAAUUUUAGAAAAAUCUUUCUAAGGCAAACAACAUAUUAACAGAUUAAAAAAAAAAGAAACAUUUGACCAUCUUUAUAAGAUAUAAAGAGAAAAAUUCAUUGAAAUCCAAUACCAAUUCAUGGUUAAAAACUCUUUGCAAAUUAAGAAGAGAAGGGGAUUUCCUUACAUUUAAUGGACAAAAAGUAUGUGCCAAAAUAGCACAGCAAACAUUACUCUCUUUCUUUUUAAAGAUUGUAUUUUUAAGUAAUCUUUACAUCCAAUGUGGAGCUUGAACUUACAACUUCGAUAUCAAGAAUCAUAUGGUCUACUGAAUGAGCCAGCUAGGCGCCUCCAAACAUCAGUUUUAAUUGGGAAAAUUUAGAUGAAUCCUGUUUAAAAUGAGGCAUAAGACAGGAUAUCAAAUUUUAUCACUCUGUUAUCAUUACACAAAAAGUGCCUUGCAGUAGGAUAGAGUAAGAAGAAUAAGAACUGAAAGUAAAUUAAUAAGAGGUUUGGCUGCAUUUAAGCCAGAUAGGAGGUUAUUUUUCUCUCUCAUAAAAGUAAUUUAGAGAUGGGUCAUCCAGGGCUAAUAUGGUGGUUCUGUGAAGUCAUCAACCACCAAGAUAUCCUCUGACUUUGUGU
This 1743-nucleotide long non-coding RNA is filed under the name Canis lupus familiaris (dog). RNAcentral describes it as "lncRNA (ENSCAFG00040002563.1)". The record is from RNAcentral. Lineage: Eukaryota; Metazoa; Chordata; Mammalia; Carnivora; Canidae.